GUAAACGGCGGCCGUAACUAUAACGGUCCUAAGGUAGCGAAAUUCCUUGUCGGGUAAGUUCCGACCUGCACGAAUGGCGUAAUGAUGGCCAGGCUGUCUCCACCCGAGACUCAGUGAAAUUGAACUCGCUGUGAAGAUGCAGUGUACCCGCGGCAAGACGGAAAGACCCCGUGAACCUUUACUAUAGCUUGACACUGAACAUUGAGCCUUGAUGUGUAGGAUAGGUGGGAGGCUUUGAAGUGUGGACGCCAGUCUGCAUGGAGCCGACCUUGAAAUACCACCCUUUAAUGUUUGAUGUUCUAACGUGGACCCGUGAUCCGGGUUGCGGACAGUGUCUGGUGGGUAGUUUGACUGGGGCGGUCUCCUCCUAAAGAGUAACGGAGGAGCACGAAGGUUGGCUAAUCCUGGUCGGACAUCAGGAGGUUAGUGCAAUGGCAUAAGCCAGCUUGACUGCGAGCGUGACGGCGCGAGCAGGUGCGAAAGCAGGUCAUAGUGAUCCGGUGGUUCUGAAUGGAAGGGCCAUCGCUCAACGGAUAAAAGGUACUCCGGGGAUAACAGGCUGAUACCGCCCAAGAGUUCAUAUCGACGGCGGUGUUUGGCACCUCGAUGUCGGCUCAUCACAUCCUGGGGCUGAAGUAGGUCCCAAGGGUAUGGCUGUUCGCCAUUUAAAGUGGUACGCGAGCUGGGUUUAGAACGUCGUGAGACAGUUCGGUCCCUAUCUGCCGUGGGCGCUGGAGAACUGAGGGGGGCUGCUCCUAGUACGAGAGGACCGGAGUGGACGCAUCACUGGUGUUCGGGUUGUCAUGCCAAUGGCACUGCCCGGUAGCUAAAUGCGGAAGAGAUAAGUGCUGAAAGCAUCUAAGCACGAAACUUGCCCCGAGAUGAGUUCUCCCUGACCCUUUAAGGGUCCUGAAGGAACGUUGAAGACGACGACGUUGAUAGGCCGGGUGUGUAAGCGCAGCGAUGCGUUGAGCUAACCGGUACUAAUGAACCGUGAGGCUUAACCUU
RNAcentral lists this ribosomal RNA (1008 nucleotides) under Escherichia coli. RNAcentral describes it as "partial 23S ribosomal RNA". It matches the Rfam family "Bacterial large subunit ribosomal RNA", at positions 1923 to 2925 of the family's 2925-position model. The record is from RNAcentral. Lineage: Bacteria; Pseudomonadati; Pseudomonadota; Gammaproteobacteria; Enterobacterales; Enterobacteriaceae. RNAcentral also lists the same sequence under 2 other names.